AGCGAACGCUGGCGGCAGGCCUAAUACAUGCAAGUCGAACGCACCUUCGGGUGAGUGGCGGACGGGUGAGUAACGCGUGGGAACGUGCCCUUUGGUUCGGAAUAACUCAGGGAAACUUGAGCUAAUACCGGAUGUGCCCUUCGGGGAAAGAUUUAUCGCCAUUGGAGCGGCCCGCGUUGGAUUAGCUAGUUGGUGGGGUA
RNAcentral lists this ribosomal RNA (200 nucleotides) under uncultured bacterium. RNAcentral describes it as "partial 16S ribosomal RNA". It matches the Rfam family "Bacterial small subunit ribosomal RNA", at positions 29 to 259 of the family's 1533-position model. The record is from RNAcentral.